CCCUUAGAUGUUCGGGGCCGCACGCGCGCUACACUGAAGGAAUCAGCACGUCUUUCUCCUUGUCCGAAAGGACUGGGUAACCCGCUGAACCUCCUUCGUGCUAGGGAUUGGGGCUUGUAAUUCUUCCCCAUGAACGAGGAAUUCCCAGUAAGUGCGAGUCAUAAGCUCGCGUUGAUUACGUCCCUGCCCUUUGUACACACCGCCCGUCGCUACUACCGAUUGGAUGGUUUAGUGAGAUCCUCGGAUUGGUCCCGGCGCGGCCUCUGGUCGUGCCGGAGUGCCGAAAAGAAUGUCGAACUUGAUCAUCUAGAGGAAGUAAAAGUCGUAACA
Molecule: ribosomal RNA, 330 nt
Filed under: uncultured eukaryote
Lineage: Eukaryota
Description: partial 18S ribosomal RNA
Rfam family: Eukaryotic small subunit ribosomal RNA
Source: RNAcentral